RNAcentral lists this transfer RNA (86 nucleotides) under Bacillota bacterium. Its description in RNAcentral is "tRNA-Leu". It matches the Rfam family "tRNA". From Rfam's summary of the family: Transfer RNA (tRNA) molecules are approximately 80 nucleotides in length. Their secondary structure includes four short double-helical elements and three loops (D, anti-codon, and T loops). The record is from RNAcentral. Lineage: Bacteria; Bacillati; Bacillota.
GCGAGGGUGGCGGAAUCGGCAGACGCGCACGUUUGAGGGGCGUGCGGUAGCUUACCUUGCGAGUUCAAGUCUCGUCCCUCGCACCA